RNAcentral lists this ribosomal RNA (862 nucleotides) under uncultured bacterium. Its description in RNAcentral is "bacterial SSU rRNA". It matches the Rfam family "Bacterial small subunit ribosomal RNA", at positions 28 to 898 of the family's 1533-position model. The record is from RNAcentral.
GAUGAACGCUGGCGGCGUGCUUAACACAUGCAAGUCGAACGAUGAUCCGGUGCUUGCGCCGGUGAUUAGUGGCGAACGGGUGAGUAACACGUGAGUAACCUGCCCCCGACUCUGGGAUAAGCCCGGGAAACUGGGUCUAAUACCGGAUAUUCACUUCCCUCCGCAUGGAGGGUGGUGGAAAGGUCUUUUCCGGUCGGGGAUGGACUCGCGGCCUAUCAGCUUGUUGGUGGGGUAGUGGCCCACCAAGGCGACGACGGGUAGCCGGCCUGAGAGGGUGACCGGCCACACUGGGACUGAGACACGGCCCAGACUCCUACGGGAGGCAGCAGUGGGGAAUAUUGCACAAUGGGCGCAAGCCUGAUGCAGCGACGCCGCGUGAGGGAUGACGGCCUUCGGGUUGUAAACCUCUUUCAGUAGGGAAGAAGCGAAAGUGACGGUACCUGCAGAAGAAGCGCCGGCUAACUACGUGCCAGCAGCCGCGGUAAUACGUAGGGCGCAAGCGUUAUCCGGAAUUAUUGGGCGUAAAGAGCUCGUAGGCGGUUUGUCGCGUCUGCCGUGAAAGUCCGGGGCUCAACCCCGGAUCUGCGGUGGGUACGGGCAGACUUGAGUGCAGUAGGGGAGACUGGAAUUCCUGGUGUAGCGGUGAAAUGCGCAGAUAUCAGGAGGAACACCGAUGGCGAAGGCAGGUCUCUGGGCUGUAACUGACGCUGAGGAGCGAAAGCAUGGGGAGCGAACAGGAUUAGAUACCCUGGUAGUCCAUGCCGUAAACGUUGGGCACUAGGUGUGGGGGACAUUCCACGUUUUCCGCGCCGUAGCUAACGCAUUAAGUGCCCCGCCUGGGGAGUACGGCCGCAAGGCUAAA